UUUUCUAUUGCCGAAUUGGUAUAGGCAUCGCCGAUAACAGGCGAGGGUGCGGGUUCGAGUCCCGCUGGAACGA
Molecule: transfer RNA, 73 nt
Organism: Operophtera brumata (winter moth)
Lineage: Eukaryota; Metazoa; Arthropoda; Insecta; Lepidoptera; Geometridae
Rfam family: tRNA
About the family: Transfer RNA (tRNA) molecules are approximately 80 nucleotides in length. Their secondary structure includes four short double-helical elements and three loops (D, anti-codon, and T loops). Further hydrogen bonds mediate the characteristic L-shaped molecular structure. tRNAs have two regions of fundamental functional importance: the anti-codon, which is responsible for specific mRNA codon recognition, and the 3' end, to which the tRNAs corresponding amino acid is attached (by aminoacyl-tRNA synthetases). tRNAs cope with the degeneracy of the genetic code in two manners: having more than one tRNA (with a specific anti-codon) for a particular amino acid; and 'wobble' base-pairing, i.e. permitting non-standard base-pairing at the 3rd anti-codon position.
Source: Rfam